UAGGGAAUAUUGCACAAUGGGCGAAAGCCUGAUGCAGCAACGCCGCGUGUGCGAAGAAGGCCUUCGGGUCGUAAAGCACUUUUCUGGGAGAUGAGAAAGGACAGUAUCCCAGGAAUAAGUCUCGGCUAACUACGUGCCAGCAGCCGCGGUAAAACGUAGGAGGCGAGCGUUACCCGGAUUCACUGGGCGUAAAGCGCGUGCAGGCGGUUUGGUAAGUUGGGCGUGAAAGCUCCCGGCUCAACUGGGAGAGGUCGUCCAAAACUACCAGACUAGAGAGCGAUAGAGGAAAAUGGAAUUCCCGGUGUAGUGGUGAAAUGCGUAGAUAUCGGGAGGAACACCAGUGGCGAAGGCGAUUUUCUGGAUCGUUUCUGACGCUCAGACGCGAAAGCUAGGGUAGCAAACGGGAUUAGAGACCCCGGUAGUCCUAGCUGUAAACGAUGUGAACUUGGCGUUGGUGGCUUAAACACCAUCAGUGCCGUAGCUAACGCGAUAAGUUCACCGCCU
This 504-nucleotide ribosomal RNA is filed under the name uncultured Chloroflexota bacterium. Its description in RNAcentral is "bacterial SSU rRNA". It matches the Rfam family "Bacterial small subunit ribosomal RNA", at positions 355 to 874 of the family's 1533-position model. Lineage: Bacteria; Bacillati; Chloroflexota. The record is from RNAcentral.